Molecule: transfer RNA, 21 nt
Filed under: Helicodiceros muscivorus (dead horse arum)
Lineage: Eukaryota; Viridiplantae; Streptophyta; Magnoliopsida; Alismatales; Araceae
Description: partial tRNA-Phe
Source: RNAcentral
CGGGAUAUUUUGAAAAGAGUA